Molecule: long non-coding RNA, 474 nt
Organism: Zophobas morio
Lineage: Eukaryota; Metazoa; Arthropoda; Insecta; Coleoptera; Tenebrionidae
Exons: 2
Source: RefSeq, a predicted model, not a curated record
UGGCAUUUUCAGUGCAUCUUAUUUACCAGUGGUUAAUUGUAUGUUUUGCAGAACAUCUGCAACAAUCUACGUCGUCAAACUUGUUAAAAAUGAGAUGAACGUGUUAGUUGCUACAUUUAUCACGCUACAACCAGUCUUUGCUACCCAAGACCCAUCCAAGGUAUUUUCGCAAGAAAUCUGGAACGAAUUCAAAAAAAAUAUCCUACUCGAUGGGUUAGUCAUAGCGAGUAUUUCAGCGGCUAUUAUUUUUGGAACUUUGAUGGUCUGUUUGUACAAGUACAUCCAAAGCAAAAAGACACCGCGGUCGGACGAUUCAAAUCAGGAGGUUGUAAGCAACGAUUCAAAUCAGGAGAGAGUGAGCUACGAUUCAAGGAGUGGUUCGGUAGACUUGCAGUUCAAUCAAAACAUGCGACCGUUGCAGUUUUUAGUAAAACUGAUGUUACCUUUUACGAAAAAACGUUUUGAGAGAAAGAA